UGAAGACUGAAGUGGAGAAAGGCUCCGUGUGAUCAGUAAUUG
This 42-nucleotide ribosomal RNA is filed under the name Phytophthora infestans T30-4. Its description in RNAcentral is "28S ribosomal RNA". The record is from RNAcentral. Lineage: Eukaryota; Oomycota; Peronosporomycetes; Peronosporales; Peronosporaceae.